RNAcentral lists this ribosomal RNA (492 nucleotides) under uncultured bacterium. Its description in RNAcentral is "partial 16S ribosomal RNA". It matches the Rfam family "Bacterial small subunit ribosomal RNA", at positions 29 to 507 of the family's 1533-position model. The record is from RNAcentral.
AGUGAACGCUGGCGGUAGGCCUAACACAUGCAAGUCGAACGGCAGCACAGUAAGAGCUUGCUCUUACGGGUGGCGAGUGGCGGACGGGUGAGGAAUACAUCGGAAUCUACUUUUUCGUGGGGGAUAACGUAGGGAGACUUACGCUAAUACCGCAUACGACCUACGGGUGAAAGCAGGGGAUCUUCGGACCUUGCGCGAUUGAAUGAGCCGAUGUCGGAUUAGCUAGUUGGCGGGGUAAAGGCCCACCAAGGCGACGAUCCGUAGCUGGUCUGAGAGGAUGAUCAGCCACACUGGAACUGAGACACGGUCCAGACUCCUACGGGAGGCUGCAGUGGGGAAUAUUGGACAAUGGGCGCAAGCCUGAUCCAGCCAUACCGCGUGGGUGAAGAAGGCCUUCGGGUUGUAAAGCCCUUUUGUUGGGAAAGAAAAGCAGCAGGUUAAUACCCCGCUGUUCUGACGGUACCCAAAGAAUAAGCACCGGCUAACUUCGUG